ACGAACGCUGGCGGCGUGCCUAAUACAUGCAAGUCGAACGGUCUUUCUAUGGAAGCUUGCUUCCACUGAGAAGAUAGUGGCGAACGGGUGAGUAACACGUGGGUAACCUGCCCAUAAGAGGGGGGAUAACAUCCGGAAACGGGUGCUAAUACCGCAUAGUUUUCUUGAUCGCAUGAUCGGGAAAGGAAAGACGGCCUUUGUGCUGUCGCUUAUGGAUGGACCCGCGGCGUAUUAGUUAGUUGGUGAGGUAACGGCUCACCAAGACGAUGAUACGUAGCCGACCUGAGAGGGUGAUCGGCCACAUUGGGACUGAGACACGGCCCAAACUCCUACGGGAGGCAGCAGUAGGGAAUCUUCCGCAAUGGACGAAAGUCUGACGGAGCAACGCCGCGUGAGUGAAGAAGGUUUUCGGAUCGUAAAACUCUGUUGUCAGAGAAGAACAAGUUGGAGAGUAACUGCUCCAGCCUUGACGGUAUCUGACCGGAAAGCCACGGCUAACUACGUGCCAGCCGCCGC
RNAcentral lists this ribosomal RNA (516 nucleotides) under uncultured bacterium. Its description in RNAcentral is "bacterial SSU rRNA". It matches the Rfam family "Bacterial small subunit ribosomal RNA", at positions 29 to 518 of the family's 1533-position model. The record is from RNAcentral.